Small nuclear RNA from Crocodylus porosus (Australian saltwater crocodile), 162 nucleotides. Its record names the gene U1. It matches the Rfam family "U1 spliceosomal RNA". Rfam says of the family: U1 is a small nuclear RNA (snRNA) component of the spliceosome (involved in pre-mRNA splicing). Its 5' end forms complementary base pairs with the 5' splice junction, thus defining the 5' donor site of an intron. Lineage: Eukaryota; Metazoa; Chordata; Crocodylia; Crocodylidae. The record is from Ensembl.
GUACUUUUAUGGCAGAGGAGAUACCGUGAUCAAGCAGGUGUUUUUCCAGGCUGAGUCCUGUCCAUUAUUGUGGGCAGACUGAUCCUUGAAAGAUUCCUCUGUGCAGGAGACUUGACUGCAGAAUUUUGUGGUAAUGGGGGAUUGUGUUUGUACUUUCCUCUU